Molecule: ribosomal RNA, 252 nt
Filed under: uncultured bacterium
Lineage: Bacteria
Description: partial 16S ribosomal RNA
Rfam family: Bacterial small subunit ribosomal RNA
Source: RNAcentral
UACAGAGGUCCCAAGCGUUGUUCGGAUUCAUUGGGCGUAAAGGGUGCGUAGGCGGCGCGGGACGUCGGGUGUGAAAUCUCGGAGCUUAACUCCGAAACUGCAUUCGAUACUGCCGUGCUUGAGGACUGGGAGGAGACUGGAAUUUACGGUGUAGCGGUGAAAUGCGUAGAUAUCGUAAGGAAGACCAGUGGCGAAGGCGGGUCUCUGGACAGUUCCUGACGCUGAGGCACGAAGGCCAGGGGAGCAAACGGG